Molecule: non-coding RNA, 334 nt
Organism: Paramuricea clavata
Lineage: Eukaryota; Metazoa; Cnidaria; Anthozoa; Malacalcyonacea; Plexauridae
Source: the annotation of a GenBank genome assembly
AUUCCAUCGUAGCUGAACAACGAUGUGUUAAUACAACUGCGAUUUGUCGAACCGAUUUUGGGUUUUGUUGCAUCCUAAAUGAAAGAAUAUCAUCAAGUAGACGGCAAAAUUGGCUCGAUAAAUCGCAGCGUGUAAGUUGUAUCUCAAACAGAAUUUGAAUCAAUAUUUCCAGAACAGGGGUGGACUUACUGCAAGAGUGCGGGCAGUGGCGUAAAUCUCGGUGGGGCGGGGCCGGCCGCCCCCCGCCUUCGUGGAAAAUGACGAAUUUUCGGAAAUUUUGACCUUUACAGUAAAAAGGCUAAAAACAGCCUUUUCGAGUGUAAAUGGGGGGGGG